This 776-nucleotide ribosomal RNA is filed under the name uncultured Neocallimastigales. RNAcentral's name for it is "partial large subunit ribosomal RNA". It matches the Rfam family "Eukaryotic large subunit ribosomal RNA", at positions 22 to 628 of the family's 3401-position model. Lineage: Eukaryota; Fungi; Neocallimastigomycota; Neocallimastigomycetes; Neocallimastigales. The record is from RNAcentral.
UGUACACGCUGUGACUAGCAUAUCAAUAAGCGGAGGAAAAGAAACUAACAAGGAUUCCCCUAGUAACGGCGAGUGAAGCGGGAAGAGCUCAAAUUUGAAAUCUUAAAGGGUUUCCCUUUACGAAUUGUAGUUUAAAGAAGUGUUUUCUGUUGAGGUUUUGGUAAAAGUUCUUUGGAAUAGGACAUCAUAGAGGGUGAGAAUCCCGUAUUUGACCUUUACUUUCAACUUUGUGAUACACUUUCAAAGAGUCGGAUUGUUUGGGAAUGCAGUCCAAAAUGGGUGGUAAAUUUCAUCUAAAGCUAAAUAUUGGCGAGAGACCGAUAGCGAACAAGUACCGUGAGGGAAAGAUGAAAAGAACUUUGAAAAGAGAGUUAAACAGUACGUGAAAUUGUCAAAAGGGAAGCGUUUGACACCAGUGUUGUUUUUCUGAAAAUCAAUUAAAGAACUGUUUAUGCUAAGCUGUUUAGACUUUAUCAGCUAUCUGUUUAGUUUUGAGCUUUUCUUUAAUGCAGCUUUUCAGUUAACAAGUCAACAUCAAUUUCUUUUGCUGUAAAAAAGCUUGAGGAAGGUGGCUUGAGAUCCGUCUUAAGUGUUUAUAGCCUCUUGCCUAUGCAGUCGGAGAGAUUGAGGUCUGCAGCGUAGAUCCUUCGGGGCUAAAUGCAUUUGUGCUAAGUUAUAGCAUUUUAUAGACAACUUGUUGACUAUGAUUUGUCUUGUAGCUUACUCGCUUAUGUUAUUUUACCUACGCUUAGGAUGUUGAGUCGUAGAGCACGCAG